UACAGAGGUCUCAAGCGUUGUUCGGAUUCAUUGGGCGUAAAGGGUGCGUAGGCGGCGCUGUAAGUCGGGCGUGAAAUCUCGGAGCUUAACUCCGAAACUGCAUUCGAUACUGCCGUGCUUGAGGACUGGAGAGGAGACUGGAAUUUACGGUGUAGCGGUGAAAUGCGUAGAUAUCGUAAGGAAGACCAGUGGCGAAGGCGGGUCUCUGGACAGUUCCUGACGCUGAGGCACGAAGGUCAGGGGAGCAAACGGG
This 253-nucleotide ribosomal RNA is filed under the name uncultured bacterium. Its description in RNAcentral is "partial 16S ribosomal RNA". It matches the Rfam family "Bacterial small subunit ribosomal RNA", at positions 524 to 776 of the family's 1533-position model. The record is from RNAcentral.